Molecule: non-coding RNA, 86 nt
Organism: Myotis lucifugus (little brown bat)
Lineage: Eukaryota; Metazoa; Chordata; Mammalia; Chiroptera; Vespertilionidae
Source: Rfam
AGAGGCCCUCUGCAGCCGGGCGGGACGCUUGCCUCAUCGCCAUGGCGAUGAAGCAAGCAUUCCGCCAGGCCGCUCACGCUGCCUGU